This 498-nucleotide ribosomal RNA is filed under the name uncultured bacterium. RNAcentral's name for it is "partial 16S ribosomal RNA". It matches the Rfam family "Bacterial small subunit ribosomal RNA", at positions 30 to 523 of the family's 1533-position model. The record is from RNAcentral.
AUUGAACGCUGGCGGCAUGCCUUACACAUGCAAGUCGAACGGUAACAGGUCUUCGGAUGCUGACGAGUGGCGAACGGGUGAGUAAUACAUCGGAACGUGCCUAGUAGUGGGGGAUAACUACUCGAAAGAGUGGCUAAUACCGCAUGAGAUCUACGGAUGAAAGCAGGGGAUCGCAAGACCUUGUGCUACUAGAGCGGCCGAUGGCAGAUUAGGUAGUUGGUGGGAUAAAAGCUUACCAAGCCGACGAUCUGUAGCUGGGCUGAGAGGACGAUCAGCCACACUGGGACUGAGACACGGCCCAGACUCCGACGGGAGGCAGCAGUGGGGAAUUUUGGACAUUGGGCGCCAGCCUGAUCCAGCAAUGCCGCGUGCAGGAUGAAGGCCUUCGGGUUGUAAACUGCUUUUGUACGGAACGAAAAGCCCCGGGUUAAUACCCUGGGGUCAUGACGGUACCGUAAGAAUAAGCACCGGCUAACUACGUGCCAGCAGCCGCCGUAA